GAGAAUCAACGCUGGCGGCGUGCCUAACACAUGCAAGUCGCACGAGAAAGGGACUUCGGUCCUGAGUACAGUGGCGCACGGGUGAGUAACACGUGAAUAAUCUACCUCCGAGUGGGGAAUAACUGAGAGAAAUCUUAGCUAAUACCGCAUAACACUUACGAGUCAAAGCAGCAAUGCGCUUGGAGAGGAGUUCGCGGCAGAUUAGUUAGUUGGCGGGGUAAUGGCCCACCAAGACGAUGAUCUGUAUCCGGCCUGAGAGGGCGCACGGACACACUGGAACUGAAACACGGUCCAGACUCCUACGGGAGGCAGCAGUGGGGAAUUUUGCGCAAUGGGGGAAACCCUGACGCAGCAACGCCGCGUGGAGGAUGAAAUCCCUUGGGAUGUAAACUCCUUUCGAUAGGGAAGAUAAUGACGGUACCUAUAGAAGAAGCCCCGGCUAACUUCGUGCCAGCAGCCGC
This 461-nucleotide ribosomal RNA is filed under the name uncultured bacterium. Its description in RNAcentral is "SSU rRNA". It matches the Rfam family "Bacterial small subunit ribosomal RNA", at positions 26 to 518 of the family's 1533-position model. The record is from RNAcentral.